Molecule: long non-coding RNA, 862 nt
Filed under: Monodelphis domestica (gray short-tailed opossum)
Lineage: Eukaryota; Metazoa; Chordata; Mammalia; Didelphimorphia; Didelphidae
Description: lncRNA (ENSMODG00000039907.1)
Source: RNAcentral
AUUUAUUAUUAUUAUUGAUAAAUGUUUGCCCUAUGGAUAAAUCAGACUGCUUCAGGAAAUCCCUAGAAUGUGUAACUAUUUGAAGAACCCUUUUUUAUCAUGAGACUGACCCAUCGUGGCCACAAGCACAGGGAUUUCUGGGAAGAAGGAAGGAUGGAAAGAAAAUAAGGAAGUUGCAUUUUUGCUGAGCCCACUGCCAGGAGAACACCCCAGUCUUGUCUCAUCAUGGAAGUAUAUGGAGCACCCUACCUUCUGCCAAUCCAAACCUGACCAAUUCUUCAAGUUCUGCCUCCUCCCAGGAGCCUUCCUAGACUACUCCAACUCCCGAGAAUCCUCUCUGGAUAUAGCCUUUCCUUCUAACGGAGAGAAACAGUUCAACAAAAAACCAACUCAUGCCAAGGCUGUGAUUCAUGGUGGAUGCAGUAUUCGACACCCACAGUCCUCUGCCUCUGAUAAAAGGAAGGAAGAGAAUUUGAGGAAGGUUUUCAACAGCAAGAUUGGAGAAGAUGGGCUUUUGUUACUGGUAAAAUUCACUUUCUCAUUCCUUAAGCAUUCCAGCAAAUGGAGCUACAGCCUGUUGGAUGGGCAUUUCCCCUUGGGCAGGGACUGGCUCGGUAUGGUUUUCUAGGUGCGGAGCUGUAAGAUGUUUGGAAACGGGCUUUAGGGAUUCGGCUUCUUCCUUCUGAAGAUCCAUCAUUUCAUCGGCCUCCUCUAAAGGAGAGAACACUGGAUUGGAAUCAAAGGCCCUCAUCCUAGCUAGCUCGGCUAUUCCACACGACCAAUGUGACUUUGGGUAACCCAUUCUCUGGGUUCGUUUCUUCCUGUAAAUAAAAAGGGUUGGGCUAGGUGACUUUUUUUUUUU